GUCCAGGGGCGGGAAUCGAACCCACAACCUUCUGCUUACCGGGCAGGUGCCAUGUCCAAUAGGCUACCCUGGA
RNAcentral lists this transfer RNA (73 nucleotides) under Cordylochernes scorpioides. RNAcentral's name for it is "tRNA-Thr". The record is from RNAcentral. Lineage: Eukaryota; Metazoa; Arthropoda; Arachnida; Pseudoscorpiones; Chernetidae.